Molecule: ribosomal RNA, 484 nt
Filed under: uncultured bacterium
Lineage: Bacteria
Description: partial 16S ribosomal RNA
Rfam family: Bacterial small subunit ribosomal RNA
Source: RNAcentral
GAUGAACGCUGGCGGCGGGCCUAACACAUGCAAGUCGAACGGAAGAAGGGAGCUUGCUCCUGGAUUCAGCGGCGGGCGGGUGAGUAAUGCCUAGGAAUCUGCCGGGUAGUGGUUGGUAACAUCCGGGGGCGAGCGGUAAUAACGCAUACGAUCUGAGGCGGAAGGUGGGGGUUCUUGGGACCUCACGCGAUCAGAUGAGCCUACGUCGGCUUAGCUAGUGGUUGUGGUGAAGGCCUUCCCAGGCGACGAUCCGUAACUGGUCUCAGAGGGUGAUCAGUCACACGGGAACGGAGACACGGUUCAGGCUCCUGAGGCAGGCCGCAGUCGGGAAUAUGGGACAAGGGGGGAAAGUCUGACACAGCGAGGCCGCGUGUGGGAAGAAGGUCUCCGGAUUGUAAAGCACUUUAAGGUGGUAGGAAGGUCAGUAAGUUAAUAACGUGCUGUUGUGACGGUACCAACAGAAUAAGCACCGGCUAACUUCGUG